GACGAACGCUGGCGGCGUGCUUAACACAUGCAAGUCGAACGGAAAGGCCUGCUUUCCCUUGUGGAUUGCGGGUACUCGAGUGGCGAACGGGUGAGUAACACGUGAGUGAUCUGCCCCCAACUUGGGUAUAAGCCUGGGAAACUGGGUCUAAUUCCCGAUAGGACUGCAGGGUGGUGCCUGUGGUGGGAAACGAUUUUCUAGUGGUUGGGGAUGAGCUCGCGGCCUAUCAGCUUGUUGGUGGGGGAAUGGCCUACCAAGGCGGCGACGGGUAGCCGGGCUGGGAGGGUGGACGGCCACAUUGGGACUGAGAUACGGCCCAGACUCCUACGGGAGGCAGCAGUGGGGAAUAUUGGACAAUGAGCGGGAGCCUGAUGCAGCGGCGCCGCGUGGGGGAUGACGGCCUGCGGGGUGUAACCUCCUUUCGACCGCGAGGAAGCCACCUGGUUGGAAGGGUGGUGACGGUAGUGGUAGAAGAAGCACCGGCUAACUACGUG
Molecule: ribosomal RNA, 494 nt
Filed under: uncultured bacterium
Lineage: Bacteria
Description: partial 16S ribosomal RNA
Rfam family: Bacterial small subunit ribosomal RNA
Source: RNAcentral